RNAcentral lists this long non-coding RNA (1348 nucleotides) under Zea mays. RNAcentral describes it as "long non-coding RNA (ZMAY_LNC000271)". The record is from RNAcentral. Lineage: Eukaryota; Viridiplantae; Streptophyta; Magnoliopsida; Poales; Poaceae.
CGAACGCUAACCCCCAUCCCCCUCACGCCACGCACAAAUCCAUCAUCACCGGCGAGGGCAGUGUCGGACUGUGUGCCGCCGCCGUCGAUCCUCGGCCCUGACUCCGUUGAGGACUCGAAGUUGGGAGGUAGAGUUUCGCCAUUGCUCCUGUCGGGUGUUCGUGGCGGGAUUGGGCGAGACCGGCCAUUGGAGCGACCGCAAUUGCUCACCGACGAUCGCGACGAGCCCCAGAUCCGCCCAUUACCGCGAUUAGCACCAAUCAGACGUCCAUUUGCGGUAAGAUGCAUACCAGUGUGUUCGUCAUACCCUGUUCUCCGUAUAACCUCGAGCCACAAUAGAAUAGGAGCACUGUGUGGCUGAAUCGCCCAACUCCAGCGAUCCCCCGCCAUGGAUGGUGGCGGCGCCGCCAUCGGGUAGCCUGUUAGGGGAGGGCGAAGUUCGAGCGUUGAUCUGAUGAUGAACGGUUCAGAUUUGGUCCUGUUAUACUAGUUCGGGCGGGAGGUCCAGGCCAUUGGGAUCCGAUCGGGUGGAUCUGGGGGGCUCUGAGUUAUUUAAAUCUGCACCGUUAGAUUUUGAUCGGGCGGCCCACGUUGAACGAUACCCCUUCGCCCAACCCUUUUGCUAAAGAGUCCCUGACUAAAGUAGAAAUCAACCCGCAGUCCUGCGCGUGCUAAGAAACCUGUACCCUGAGCCUUAGAAACUUUGCAAGAUAGCCCCUGAACUCUUCUGUAUUAUUGUGCGCAGUCUAGGGUCUUGUUAAAGGGAAUAAAAAUUAUAGAAAAUGAGUUUUUAUAUUAAAACAAUUAUAGAAACUUGUUUAAAUCAUAAUAAAUCCAUUUUAACUCCUUUUUGAUCCAUUCUAGUUGCAUUAAUUUUGUAUUAAUAUUGUCUAUAAACUAGUAACUCUUUUAUUCAUGAAACAUAGACUAAAAUUAUUCAUUUGGCUUAGUCUAUAUCAACCACUUAAUAACUUCGAAAAUUCAUAACUCGAUAACUGUAACUCCGAAUUUAAUGAUUCUUGUUGCUACGAUUUCGUUACGAUGCGUAGAAUAUUAUUAUGUAGUAUGAUCUCAUGUUUGGUGUGAUGUUAAUUUCUCCUGUAUCAUGUUUGUUUGUAUUGUUGCGAGUAGAUGAGCAAGCCACUGAGGACCCCGGUGUUCAGUAGGUGGAUAAUUCUGAGCAUGAGCUUGUUGAAGGCAAGUUGUGCCCUUGAUCACUUUUAUUUACCUAAUAAUGUUCUCUUUAAUCACUAUGGCAUGUUUAGGCUUAAUUUUGAUGGGACCCAAUAGGUCACCCUAGUCUGCUUUAUCUUGUGCCUUGAUCACCACUGAACAUGUUUGGGUAGUCU